UUCUUCGCAUACUUAAUAUAUUAGCCUAAAACUUGGCGCCGAGUACACCCAGCUUAAAUCCAGAUUUUUUGGUUACUGGCUAGGCCCAUGGUUCCCGAUUCAUAAGAUUUAGUUUUGACGGCUGUAGUUUUAUCUAAUCAUUAGAUUAAACCUAUUUGUGUUUCCUCAAGCUUACUGUCGCCGGAGCUUGCGUCAAAAACCUCUAAGCAGUGUAAAAAAAAAAAAGAGGUGAGAGAGUAAUGAAGGUGAGAUGGGGUUAAACCAUAACUGUGCAAUAAAAAUUGAGCAUUCUGAAAGAGUUCAUGUGAUUGCAGUUACCAAACCAAACUGCACCGCCAAUUGCCAAGAAUGUGUAUUCUUUUGGAAAGUCAAUUAGCAUCCUCUUGGCUGUUAGUGUCGGUGACAACCGCAAACUACAUGUGAAGCGUCUCUCUCAGAUUGGGCGGUGAAGCGUCUCUCUAAAAUUGGGCGGGG
Brassica oleracea var. oleracea is the source of this 474-nucleotide long non-coding RNA. RefSeq lists it as uncharacterized. NCBI's taxonomy places the organism in Eukaryota, Viridiplantae, Streptophyta, Magnoliopsida, Brassicales, Brassicaceae. The transcript has 3 exons. The record is from RefSeq and is a predicted model, not a curated record.